GAAAUGCGAUAAGUAGUGUGAAUUGCAGAAUUCAGUGAAUCAUCGAAUCUUUGAACGCACAUUGCGCCCUUUGGUAUUCCGAAGGGCAUACCUGUUCGAGCGUCAUUUAAACCCCUCAAGCACAGCUUGGUUUUGGGCGUCUUGUCUGUAUUAGACUCGCCUUAAAAUUAUCGGCGCUAUCCUAUCAAAUUAUGGAGCACAGUACAUUGCUGCUACUAAUUAGAGUAGGGUCAGUAGCCGGACAUAUUUUUUUUUUUAAUUUGACCUCGGAUCAGGUAGGGAUACCCGCUGAACUUAA
Molecule: unclassified non-coding RNA, 298 nt
Filed under: uncultured Dothideomycetes
Lineage: Eukaryota; Fungi; Ascomycota; Dothideomycetes
Description: sequence contains ITS1
Rfam family: 5.8S ribosomal RNA (bases 1-105)
Source: RNAcentral